UACGGAGGGUGCGAGCGUUGUCCGGAAUCACUGGGCGUAAAGGGCGCGUAGGCGGCCUGGUAAGUCGGGGGUGAAAUCCUGCGGCCUAACCGGAGGGCUGCCUUCUAAACUGUCAGGCUCGAGCACAGUAGAGGCAGGUGGAAUUCCCGGUGUAGCGGUGGAAUGCGUAGAGAUCGGGAAGAACAUCAGUGGCGAGGGCGGCCUGCUGGGCUGUUGCUGACGCUGAGGCGCGACAGCGUGGGGAGCAAAUAGG
RNAcentral lists this ribosomal RNA (253 nucleotides) under uncultured bacterium. RNAcentral's name for it is "partial 16S ribosomal RNA". It matches the Rfam family "Bacterial small subunit ribosomal RNA", at positions 524 to 776 of the family's 1533-position model. The record is from RNAcentral.